RNAcentral lists this ribosomal RNA (1275 nucleotides) under uncultured bacterium. RNAcentral's name for it is "partial 16S ribosomal RNA". It matches the Rfam family "Bacterial small subunit ribosomal RNA", at positions 108 to 1399 of the family's 1533-position model. The record is from RNAcentral.
GAGUAACGCGUGGGUAACCUGCCUUAUACAGGGGGAUAACAGUUAGAAAAUGACUGCUAAUACCGCAUAAGCGCACAGUACCGCAUGGUACAGUGUGAAAAACUCCGGUGGUAUAAGAUGGACCCGCGUCUGAUUAGCCAGUUGGCGGGGUAACGGCCCACCAAAGCGACGAUCAGUAGCCGACCUGAGAGGGUGACCGGCCUCAUUGGGACUGAGACACGGCCCAAACUCCUACGGGAGGCAGCAGUGGGGAAUAUUGCACAAUGGGGGAAACCCUGAUGCAGCAACGCCGCGUGAGUGAAGAAGUAUUUCGGUAUGUAAAGCUCUAUCAGCAGGGAAGAAGAUGACGGUACCUGACCAAGAAGCCCCGGCUAACUACGUGCCAGCAGCCGCGGUAAUACGUAGGGGGCAAGCGUUAUCCGGAUUUACUGGGUGUAAAGGGAGCGCAGACGGCAGUGCAAGUCUGGAGUGAAAGCCCGGGGCCCAACCCCGGAACUGCUCUGGAAACUGUGCGGCUAGAGUACUGGAGGGGCAGGCGGAAUUCCUAGUGUAGCGGUGAAAUGCGUAGAUAUUAGGAGGAACACCAGUGGCGAAGGCGGAUUGCUGGACAGUAACUGACGCUGAGGCGCGAAAGCGUGGGGAGCAAACAGGAUUAGAUACCCUGGUAGUCCACGCUGUAAACGAUGGAUACUUGGUGUGGGGGGUCUGACCCCUUCAGUACCGCAUUUAACACAGUAAGUAUCCCGCCUGGGGAGUACCAUUCGCAAGGUCGCAACUCAAAUGAAUUGACGGGGACCCGCACAGGCGAUGGCGCAUGUGGUUUAAUCCGAAGCAACGCGAAGAACCUUACCAAGUCUUGACAUCUGGAUGACAGGGACGUAACGGUCCUCUUACUUCGAUACAUCCAAGACAGGUGGUGCAUGGUUGUCGUCAGCUCGUGUCGUGAGAUGUUGGGUUAAGUCCCGCAACGAGCGCAACCCUUAUUUUCAGUAGCCAGCAGGUAAAGCCGGGCACUCUGGAGAGACUGCCGGGGAUAACCCGGAGGAAGGUGGGGAUGACGUCAAAUCAUCAUGCCCCUUAUGAUUUGGGCUACACACGUGCUACAAUGGCGUAAACAGAGGGAAGCGAGCCCGCGAGGGGGAGCAAAUCCCAAAAAUAACGUCCCAGUUCGGAUUGUAGUCUGCAACCCGACUACAUGAAGCUGGAAUCGCUAGUAAUCGCGGAUCAGAAUGCCGCGGUGAAUACGUUCCCGGGUCUUGAAAUCACCGCCCGUCA